AUGAACGCUGGCGGCGUGCCUAAUACAUGCAAGUCGAGCGAACGGACGAGAAGCUUGCUUCUCUGAUGUUAGCGGCGGACGGGUGAGUAACACGUGGAUAACCUACCUAUAAGACUGGGAUAACUUCGGGAAACCGUAGCUAAUACCGGAUAAUAUUUUGAACCGCAUGGUUCAAAAGUGAAAGACGGUCUUGCUGUCACUUAUAGAUGGAUCCGCGCUGCAUUAGCUAGUUGGUAAGGUAACGGCUUACCAAGGCAACGAUGCAUAGCCGACCUGAGAGGGUGAUCGGCCACACUGGAACUGAGACACGGUCCAGACUCCUACGGGAGGCAGCAGUAGGGAAUCUUCCGCAAUGGGCGAAAGCCUGACGGAGCAACGCCGCGUGAGUGAUGAAGGUCUUCGGAUCGUAAAACUCUGUUAUUAGGGAAGAACAUAUGUGUAAGUAACUGUGCACAUCUUGACGGUACCUAGUCAGAAAGCCACGGCUAACUACGUG
RNAcentral lists this ribosomal RNA (496 nucleotides) under uncultured bacterium. Its description in RNAcentral is "partial 16S ribosomal RNA". It matches the Rfam family "Bacterial small subunit ribosomal RNA", at positions 29 to 507 of the family's 1533-position model. The record is from RNAcentral.